Molecule: RNA transcript, 2341 nt
Organism: Triticum aestivum (bread wheat)
Lineage: Eukaryota; Viridiplantae; Streptophyta; Magnoliopsida; Poales; Poaceae
Gene name: cysteine-rich receptor-like protein kinase 19
Exons: 11
Source: RefSeq, a predicted model, not a curated record
UAAUGCUAAAAAAUAUUUUACAUACAUUAUGGGACGGAGGGAAUAUAUUAUUGGAGACUUUAUCGCUGGAAAAAAAUUGUAGUUUCGCUAUGGUUUCACUAUGGCCAUCUUGAACUUGCAUGUCUUAUUUAUUGUGCCAUGAAGGAAAAUGGUAACUCUGCGUAUACCCAUGUUAAAAAAUCUGGCUCUGCGCCACAGACAACCAGUCGCUUUGUACGUCAAUAAUGGCGUUAGGUGUAGCUGUUGAAUCCCAAUAAGCUAGUGCUCAAUCAUUGUUUACGUUAGAUAGAUCAAGAUUUUGCUUGGCCGCUCUGGAGAGGAAGCAAGAGGCCAGCUGGGAGUGAAGCAAAGGAGGACAGAUUGUACUCCUCUUGGGUAAGCUGGAUGGAUCUAGUGGGCAGCGUCGCCCAGAUCGUCAAAAUUGCCCUCCAGAUACAGGAGCUGGUGGAGACGGCUUACCAGAACAAGGAGGACUGCAAGAAGAUCGCCAAACGCGUGGGGAGGCUUCGCGCAAUCGUGGAACGCCUCAACAGCACGGAUGUCACCAGUGAGAAAACCAUGAUCGACGCGCUCAACGACCUGGAGGAGACGUUCCUUCAGGCCCUCAAGCUCGUCAAGGCCUGCCAGACCAAGAACAAAGUGUGGCUCUUCCUCAGGGCCGGGAACGUUUCCAAACAGCUGCGUGAGGUCAAGGACGAGAUGAUGGACCAUAUGCACAUUGCCAACUUCGGCAACUGCGCCCAGCAAACUGUUAUUAUCACCGAAGCAUUUAUUAGAGAUCCCGCGGUGAAUCCAAAGAAAUAUUUCAAAGUUCUGUCGAUGCAAGGGGAGCAAGAAAUGCAGGUGGUUGGUAGCCGCUUGGUAUGCCAGGACACAGAUAUUCGUAUUGCUGAGGGCGAUCAGCUGGAGGACGAACAUGCCAGUUACCCAAACGAUGUUACAAGAUCUGAAAUUCAUGGUGAGAAAGAAAGUUUUCCAGCAGGAAGCUUGGAGGAUACUAUAUCCCAAUUCAGAAAUUUCAGUUCAUCGGAACUGAAGGCGGUUACAAAAAACUUUUCAAAUCAACAUGUGAUUGGCAAAGGUGGUUCUGCUGUCGUUUACAAGGGUGUAUUGGCCGAUGGAGCAGUGGUUGCCAUCAAGAGUUUCUGUGUGGAUGCUUCGCAACAUGAACACGUAGUGCGUUACGCUGAAGUUUUCUCAGUGCUACGACAGCAUGAGAAUGUAGUUAAAUUUCUGGGAUACUGCCAAGAAACAAAGAUUCAAAUGGUUCCAAUCGAAGGCAAAUGUGUGGCUGCUGAAAGGCGUCAUAUGUUGGUGGUGGAAGAGUACAUGCCCAACGGAAGCUUGUCCGACAUUAUCGAUGGGUCAUCGCGGCAGCUGGAUUGGACCUCUGCAUUUCGAAUCAUUCGAGGCAUUGCACAGGGCGUAGCUCACAUCCACACCAAAGGCGCUGUCCACUUGGAUCUGAAACCAGCCAACAUCCUCUUGGAUUCAGACAUGAACCCUAAGAUCUGUGACUUUGAGAGGUCUAAAAUACUGAAUCAAAAGGAUGAAGAUGUCGCUGAGAGAGUGACACAAGAGUUGGCGGGAACACUGGGCUAUUUACCUCCGGAGUAUAUUGCAGAUGGUAUUUUUUCGUUUAAACAUGAUGUCUUCAGCUUCGGCAUUCUCCUCCUCCAUACCAUUAGCAAGUCAGGACUUCUGCAAGAUUCAACUGAUUGGUACGAUGACAUAUUUCUCAGAUUCCGAAUGCACUUAAAGGAGAAGAUGACGUGGAUAGCUUAUUAGGUCCAUCAUCGCGUGACGAGUCCGAGCUAAAGGAAAUAAAAAGAUGUAUGGACAUAGGGCUGCAGUGCACCGUGAAGGAGCGGACAGACAGACCCACCAUGUGGGAUGUUAUUGACAUGCUAGACGGAAAGGAACAGCUCCCAAAGCCCGCCCUGAGGAAUAAGGUUUCGUCGUUUAAGAAGAAAGGCAAGACAUGAUCUCCCAAAAGUGCACAAUAGGCUAACUCUAGUUGGGUAAAGAUGGGACAUGUGGCUGCAUUUAGUUUGAAGGUCGAUGACAACCACCUUAUCUAAUGAGCCUGAUUCAUUCGGAUGGACCCUAUUUGCUUCAGACGUGUUUUCCGUUAAUUUCAUGUAAGUGGACUUGAUUAAUUCUGGACCGGUUCUCUGGCCAUGCAUCGAGCUAGCUCUUUAUGAAGUACAAUACUGGGGCUGGUUCCCCUAAAUAUCCAUUUCAAGUGAGCUCUGGUUGGAAAAGGAUGGGAUGCGUGACUGCAUUUAGUUUGAAAGUUGAUGACGAUCACACCUUAUCUAAUAAGUCCGAUUCAUUUCGA